Non-coding RNA from Acanthosepion pharaonis, 115 nucleotides. NCBI's taxonomy places the organism in Eukaryota, Metazoa, Mollusca, Cephalopoda, Sepiida, Sepiidae. The record is from the annotation of a GenBank genome assembly.
UUGCGGCCUCAUCAAAUUGAAAAGAUCGGUUCAUGUACGAUCACAGAAGUUAAGCAACGUCGAGCCUUGUCAGUACCUAGAUAGAUGACCGCUUGGGAAUACCAGGUUCUGUAAG